This 488-nucleotide ribosomal RNA is filed under the name uncultured crenarchaeote. Its description in RNAcentral is "bacterial SSU rRNA". It matches the Rfam family "Archaeal small subunit ribosomal RNA", at positions 1 to 494 of the family's 1478-position model. The record is from RNAcentral. Lineage: Archaea; Thermoproteati; Thermoproteota.
UUUCCCGGUUGAUCCUGCCGGACCUGACUGCUAUCGGAUUGGUACUAAGCCAUGCGAGUCGUUGUAGCAAUACAAGGCGGACGGCUCAGUAACACGUAGUCAACCUAACCUAUGGACGUGGAUAACCUCGGGAAACUGAGAAUAAACCGCGAUAGAUCAUUAUGCCUGGAAUGGCUUAUGGUUCAAACAAUUUAUUGCCGUAGGAUGGGACUGCGGCCUAUCAGCUUGUUGGUGAGGUAAUGGCCCACCAAGGCUAUAACAGGUACGGGCUCUGAGAGGAGAAGCCCGGAGAUGGGUACUGAGACACGGACCCAGGCCCUAUGGGGCGCAGCAGGCGAGAAACCUUAGCAAUGUGCGAAAGCACGACUAGGUUAAUCCGAGUGAUUUCUGUUGAAGAAAUCUUUUGUCAGUCGUAAAACCACAGACGAAUAAGGGGUGGGCAAGUCUGGUGUCAGCCGCCGCGGUAAUACCAGCACCUCGAGUGGUCA